This 2356-nucleotide long non-coding RNA is filed under the name Leptinotarsa decemlineata (Colorado potato beetle). RNAcentral's name for it is "uncharacterized LOC111504765, transcript variant X2". Lineage: Eukaryota; Metazoa; Arthropoda; Insecta; Coleoptera; Chrysomelidae. The record is from RNAcentral.
AAUUUUUCCAAUCUUUCAAAUGACCUGAUUGACGUUUUACCAAACGUAAACGAUGUAAAAGAAGCUUAAAGAAAAUAUAAAUUUCCAGAAAUGUUUUGAGCAGUCGAGGCAACUUUGAAACAGCAAAUAUUGGUGUCAACAGUACAUGUUCCCAGAUGUCAGUUGGGAUCAAAUCAUCCUUCAACCAAUCAAUCAAUCAAGAAAUGCUUUAUUAUAUUAUCGGAAGAACAAUGUUCUCAUACAUAAAGUUACUAUGAUAGAAUCAUUCUUGGUUUUAGGGAUUGUUCCAGAUAACCUUUAAAUUGUGGACUUUAACCCACAUAAUCCAAGAUGGUUUAUUGGUCUGCACAUUUUUAUAUUUGAUAAUUUGUCUACUAAAGCGGUAGAGAUUAUCAAAGGCGUUGGUAACGGAUGAAGUAGAUCACCUCUUUGAAAGAGGUACAUAUCAGGUUUUCGAAAAAAUCACUCUUGUGAGACGGCACUCCAGUAUACAGUAUAACAAAGUGAACACAUGUUGAUGAGGGGAAUUAUGCAGUAUCAGUCUUCCUAAAUUUCAAAAUGGCUUUCGAGACCAUCGAUAGAAAUAUUCUAUUGGAAAAAUUGACGUACUAUGGAAUUGAAUGGCAUACUGCUUUGGUUUGAAAGUUAUUCGAAAAGUAGAAAGCUGACUACAAAAGUUUUAAAUCAUCAACUUCAACAGAAUCUGUGGAUGAUUUAGGGGUCCCGCAAGGUAGACAAUCGACUGAGCUAUUUGCAGAUGGCACCUCUUCAUACAUAUCAAAUAAUAACUCAAAUAAUGCAAUAGAGGAGCUACAAGAUGUAAUGGAUCGAACUGUUGAAUAUUCACUGACCAAUAAACUUGUCCUAAAUGUACCUCAUUUUAGUGAAUAUUUAUCUUGGUUUUCCUGAUAACCAAGAUGAAAUAACUAAGAACUUUCCUGUCAUUUACUUCAAAGUCAGAAACAUCCAUUAAAAAGUUACCAUUUAUUUGCAUGCAACUCCAGUGCAUCCUUUCCAAAUCCAAAGAAUAGAUGGAGCCAGUGAAAUUAUUGAAUUCUUCUUCAAAGCCACCAAAAAUAAUCAUAUGGUUUUUCCACAAAGACGCACUGUGACCAUCCCUGGGUCUAGGAUGAUUUCCGGUAGUCUUUGGAGUUGUCCAACAGUGCAAAUUGGUAUCAAAACAAAAUAACUUGGAACAAGACGCUUGGUUGUUCCUACCACCCCAGAUAUAAACUUUAUCUCCGUAAACAAUAGCGGUGUGUCUAUACCUACAAACAUAUAAUUUCAUAUUCAAAUAACAUAUUAUUGUUAGAUUUUCACUGGACAGUUUACAAAACUGAAGUACGUGUUUCGUUCUACAAUAGCUUCUUCAAGCAUUCCCAUACUGAAUAAUUUCUACCUUAUUCAUGCUUUAUAUAAUAAUAAUUUGAAUCAUAUAACCUUCUACCUAAUUAUUGACUUAUUAUUUUACCUGAUUCUAGGUGAAGCUUCUUAUCAGUAAACAACAUAUAACAUAUAUGUUAAUACAAGAUAGAUGUUGAUAAUUUUGCAGUUUUUUCAACUUGUCUAAGGCGCUUGAUACAGUGUCCUCUGCAAUACAUUUAAAGUACUUGUUACUUGGAUAAUUUACUGAGAUGGUUGAGUUCCUAUAUGAAAGGACGUUGAUCAGAGUUAUAUAUAGAAUCAGAGAAAUAUGAGAUGUUAAAAACUAGGUUUCCUCAGGGUUCAGUGUUAGGACCACUAUUAUUUGUUAAUGAUUUGCUAGAGAACUGGCAAGUUGAUGAAACCGUGGUUUCCUAUAAUUUGUAACUAAAACCGUACUUUGAAUGAAAUACAUUUUUAGCUAAUAUGUUUACAAUCUCUUAUUUAUAAGUCAGUGUAGGGAAGUUAAGUUUCUUUACUGCAUUUUAAGAAAUUUAAUUUAUUUAUUUCUGGAGUUAAUCUUCAUAGUAAAUCAAAUCUCAACUAUUACCUAUUGUAUGGGAAAAUAUUAUUUUCGAAGUAUGGUAAGUCGCUAACUGGAUGACGGGUCCAUCGUAAAGUUUCAGUAUCCAUAACACUAAUGUCCAUCGAGUACUGUUCUGAAAAUUCUCCUGUACGAAUACCUCCAAAUGUGUAAAUUUUGUUUCCGACGGCAACUGAUGCAUGAUUGACCUUCAUUGGGCCAAUGUCCAGAGCUAAUGUCCAACGCAUACUCGAAAGGCUUAUCUUCAGAUGGACUAAGGUAUACUGCUUUCAGUGUUCUCCUAACAAUGUUUUUAUUUGAAUUUCAGAGUGAAAUUCAAUUUCCAAAAAAAUACAUAUACUUAUUCUUUGUUGAAUGUUGAUUUUCUAGUAUAAAUAAAAUCUGUUGAAA